CCUACGGGUGGCAGCAGUGAGGAAUAUUGGUCAAUGGACGAGAGUCUGAACCAGCCAAGUAGCGUGAAGGAUGACUGCCCUAUGGGUUGUAAACUUCGUUUAUAUGGGAAUAAAAUGUUCCACGUGUGGGAUUUUGUAUGUACCAUAUGAAUAAGGAUCGGCUAACUCCGUGCCAGCAGCCGCGGUAAUACGGAGGAUCCGAGCGUUAUCCGGAUUUAUUGGGUUUAAAGGGAGCGUAGGUGGAGUGUUAAGUCAGUUGUGAAAGUUUGCGGCUCAACCGUAAAAUUGCAGUUGAAACUGGCAGUCUUGAGUACAGUAGAGGUGGGCGGAAUUCGUGGUGUAGCGGUGAAAUGCUUAGAUAUCACGAAGAACUCCGAUUGCGAAGGCAGUUCACUGGACUGCAACUGACACUGAGGCUCGAAAGUGUGGGUAUCAAACAGGAUUAGAUACCCUUGUAGUC
This 460-nucleotide ribosomal RNA is filed under the name uncultured bacterium. RNAcentral's name for it is "partial 16S ribosomal RNA". It matches the Rfam family "Bacterial small subunit ribosomal RNA", at positions 338 to 795 of the family's 1533-position model. The record is from RNAcentral.